AUUGAACGCUGGCGGCAGGCCUAACACAUGCAAGUCGAACGAGUGGCGGACGGGUGAUUAAUGUCUGGGAAACUGCCUGAUGGAUGGGGCUAACUACUGGAAACGGUAGCUAAUACCGCAUACCAUCGGAUGUGCCCAGAUGGGAUUAGCUAGUAGGUGGGGUAAAGGCUCACCUAGGCGACGAUCCCUAGCUGGUCUGAGCGGAUGACCAGCCAAACUGGAACUGAGACACGGUCCAGACUCCUAGGGGAGGAAGCAGUGGGGAAUAUGGCAAAAGGGGGGCAAGCCUGAUGCAGCCAGGCCGGGGGUAUGAAGAAGGCCUUCGGGUUGUAAAGUACUUUCAGCGGGGAGGCGUUACCCGCAGAAGAAGCACCGGCUAACUCCGUGCCAGCCGCCGGGUAAUAC
This 405-nucleotide ribosomal RNA is filed under the name uncultured bacterium. RNAcentral describes it as "partial 16S ribosomal RNA". It matches the Rfam family "Bacterial small subunit ribosomal RNA", at positions 29 to 526 of the family's 1533-position model. The record is from RNAcentral.